GUGUCAGCCGCCGCGGUAAUACGGAGGGGGCUAGCGUUGUUCGGAAUUACUGGGCGUAAAGCGCACGUAGGCGGACCGGAAAGUCAGAGGUGAAAUCCCAGGGCUCAACCUUGGAACUGCCUUUGAAACUCCUGGUCUUGAGGUCGAGAGAGGUGAGUGGAAUUCCGAGUGUAGAGGUGAAAUUCGUAGAUAUUCGGAGGAACACCAGUGGCGAAGGCGGCUCACUGGCUCGAUACUGACGCUGAGGUGCGAAAGCGUGGGGAGCAAACAGGAUUAGAAACCCUCGUAGUCC
Molecule: ribosomal RNA, 292 nt
Filed under: uncultured bacterium
Lineage: Bacteria
Description: partial 16S ribosomal RNA
Rfam family: Bacterial small subunit ribosomal RNA
Source: RNAcentral